UACGUAGGUGGCAAGCGUUGUCCGGAUUCAUUGGGUUUAAAGGGUGCGUAGGCGGCCAUUUAAGUCAGUGCUGAAAUAUCACAGCUUAACUGUGAGGGUGGCAUUGAUACUGGGUGGCUUGAGUGCUAGCGAGGCAGGCGGAAUUGACGGUGUAGCGGUGAAAUGCUUAGAUAUCGUCAAGAACACCGAUAGUGUAGACAGCUUGCCAGGGAGCAACUGACGCUGAGGCAAGAAAGUGUGGGGAUCAAACAGG
Molecule: ribosomal RNA, 253 nt
Filed under: uncultured bacterium
Lineage: Bacteria
Description: partial 16S ribosomal RNA
Rfam family: Bacterial small subunit ribosomal RNA
Source: RNAcentral